GAUGAAGAACGUAGCGAAAUGCGAUAAGUAAUGUGAAUUGCAGAAUUCAGUGAAUCAACGAAUCUUUGAACGCACAUUGCGCCCGCCAGUAUUCUGGCGGGCAUGCCUGUCCGAGCGUCAUUUCAACCCUCGAACCCCUCCGGGGGGUCGGCGUUGGGGAUCGGCCCUGCCUCUUGGCGGUGGCCGUCUCCGAAAUACAGUGGCGGUCUCGCCGCAGCCUCUCCUGCGCAGUAGUUUGCACACUCGCAUCGGGAGCGCGGCGCGUCCACAGCCGUUAAACACCCAACUUCUGAAAUGUUGACCUCGGAUCAGGUAGGAAUACCCGCUGAACUUAAGCAUAUCAAUAAGCGGAGGA
Molecule: unclassified non-coding RNA, 355 nt
Filed under: soil metagenome
Description: partial contains 5.8S ribosomal RNA, internal transcribed spacer 2, and large subunit ribosomal RNA
Rfam family: 5.8S ribosomal RNA (bases 1-120)
Source: RNAcentral